This 492-nucleotide ribosomal RNA is filed under the name uncultured bacterium. RNAcentral describes it as "partial 16S ribosomal RNA". It matches the Rfam family "Bacterial small subunit ribosomal RNA", at positions 29 to 507 of the family's 1533-position model. The record is from RNAcentral.
AGUGAACGCUGGCGAUAGGCCUAACACAUGCAAGUCGAACGGCAGCGCAGUAAGAGCUUGCUCUUACGGGUGGCGAGUGGCGGACGGGUGAGGAAUACAUCGGAAUCUACUUUUUCGUGGGGGAUAACGUAGGGAAACUUACGCUAAUACCGCAUACGACCUACGGGUGAAAGCAGGGGAUCUUCGGACCUUGCGCGAUUGAAUAAGCCGAUGUCGGAUUAGCUAGUUGGCGGGGUAAAGGCCCACCAAGGCGACGAUCCGUAGCUGGUCUGAGAGGAUGAUCAGCCACACUGGAACUGAGACACGGUCCAGACUCCUACGGGAGGCAGCAGUGGGGAAUAUUGGACAAAGGGCGCAAGCCUGAUCCAGCCAUACCGCGUGGGUGAAGAAGGCCUUCGGGUUGUAAAGCCCUUUUGUUGGGAAAGAAAAGCAGCAGGUUAAUACCCCGCUGUUCUGACGGUACCCAAAGAAUAAGCACCGGCUAACUUCGUG